GACGAACGCUGGCGACGUGCUUAACACAUGCAAGUCGAACGGAAAGGCCCUGCUUUUGUGGGGUGCUCGAGUGGCGAACGGGUGAGUAACACGUGAGUAACCUGCCCUUGACUUUGGGAUAACUUCAGGAAACUGGGGCUAAUACCGGAUAGGAGCUCCUGCUGCAUGGUGGGGGUUGGAAAGUUUCGGCGGUUGGGGAUGGACUCGCGGCUUAUCAGCUUGUUGGUGGGGUAGUGGCUUACCAAGGCUUUGACGGGUAGCCGGCCUGAGAGGGUGACCGGCCACAUUGGGACUGAGAUACGGCCCAGACUCCUACGGGAGGCAGAAGUGGGGAAUAUUGCACAAUGGGCGGAAGCCUGAUGCAGCAACGCCGCGUGCGGGAUGACGGCCUUCGGGUUGUAAACCGCUUUCGCCUGUGACGAAGCGUGAGUGACGGUAAUGGGUAAAGAAGCACCGGCUAACUACGUG
This 468-nucleotide ribosomal RNA is filed under the name uncultured bacterium. RNAcentral's name for it is "partial 16S ribosomal RNA". It matches the Rfam family "Bacterial small subunit ribosomal RNA", at positions 28 to 507 of the family's 1533-position model. The record is from RNAcentral.